UACGAAGGGGGCUAGCGUUGCUCGGAAUUACUGGGCGUAAAGCGCACGUAGGCGGCUUUCUAAGUCGGGGGUGAAAUCCUGGAGCUCAAUUCCAGAACUGCCUUCGAUACUGGGAAGCUCGAGUCCGGGAGAGGUGAGUGGAACUGCGAGUGUAGAGGUGAAAUUCGUAGAUAUUCGCAAGAACACCAGUGGCGAAGGCGGCUCACUGGCCCGGUACUGACGCUGAGGUGCGAAAGCGUGGGGAGCAAACAGG
This 253-nucleotide ribosomal RNA is filed under the name uncultured bacterium. Its description in RNAcentral is "partial 16S ribosomal RNA". It matches the Rfam family "Bacterial small subunit ribosomal RNA", at positions 524 to 776 of the family's 1533-position model. The record is from RNAcentral.